RNAcentral lists this ribosomal RNA (253 nucleotides) under uncultured bacterium. Its description in RNAcentral is "partial 16S ribosomal RNA". It matches the Rfam family "Bacterial small subunit ribosomal RNA", at positions 524 to 776 of the family's 1533-position model. The record is from RNAcentral.
UACGGGGGGGGCAAGCGUUGUUCGGAAUUACUGGGCGUAAAGGGCUCGUAGGUGGCCAACUAAGUCAGACGUGAAAUCCCUCGGCUUAACCGGGGAACUGCGUCUGAUACUGGAUGGCUUGAGUUCGGGAGAGGGAUGCGGAAUUCCAGGUGUAGCGGUGAAAUGCGUAGAUAUCGGAAGGAACAUCAGUGGCGAAAGCGGCUUCCUGGACCAGUACCGACGUUCAGGCACGAAAGCGUGGGGAGCAAACAGG